GAGCGAGCCGGCGAGCGACCGAGGUAAAGGUAUCGCGCCUUAGACAGAGGCCACCAGAGUUGAGUUUGGUUUACAUUUUGUUGGUAGAGUACCCUAUGUUCAUCUUUUGUAUUUGAUGACUAGUGAUGUUGAGAAAAAAAUGUAAAGCUUAUUUUGAGGUAAAUGUGAUGUAAGAAAGAAAUGAUGCAAUGUGUAAUGAAGUACAAAGAAUCAUGAAUGUAAAUGGAUGCAAUGUAUAUGAUCAAAAAUGAAUCAUAGUACUUGUAA
Molecule: long non-coding RNA, 267 nt
Filed under: Ananas comosus (pineapple)
Lineage: Eukaryota; Viridiplantae; Streptophyta; Magnoliopsida; Poales; Bromeliaceae
Description: long non-coding RNA (ACOM_LNC043476)
Source: RNAcentral